CUUACCGCACCGUUUCACCCUUGCCCGGCCCGCAGGUCGGGCCGGGCAAGGGUGAAACGGUGCGGUAAGAGCGCACCAGUGCCCCGGGCGACCGGGGCAGCUCGGUAAACCCCACCGGGAGCAAGGUCAAGCAGGGGGCGGCGGCCCGCCAGCGUCGAUUGCGGCGCAGCCCCCGGGUAGGCCGCUGAGAUGGAUGGUCACCCAGGGCCUUCGGGCCUGGACAGAACCCCGCCUACAGGCUGACUCGCCGU
RNAcentral lists this RNase P RNA (251 nucleotides) under Acidimicrobiia bacterium. Its description in RNAcentral is "partial RNase P RNA component class A". It matches the Rfam family "Bacterial RNase P class A", at positions 122 to 367 of the family's 367-position model. Rfam says of the family: Ribonuclease P (RNase P) is a ubiquitous endoribonuclease, found in archaea, bacteria and eukarya as well as chloroplasts and mitochondria. Its best characterised activity is the generation of mature 5'-ends of tRNAs by cleaving the 5'-leader elements of precursor-tRNAs. The record is from RNAcentral. Lineage: Bacteria; Bacillati; Actinomycetota; Acidimicrobiia.